RNAcentral lists this non-coding RNA (102 nucleotides) under Lotharella globosa. Lineage: Eukaryota; Cercozoa; Chlorarachniophyceae. The record is from RNAcentral.
GCGGGAAAACAAACAACAAAAAAACAAAAAACCAAAAAAAAAAAAAAGAGAAUCAUAACAAAUAGCCAACCAUUUUUCCUUUUUUUUUUUUUUUUUUUUUUU